GGAAGAUAAAGAUCUCGCCCUCCAGCCUGGAAACAAUCCCCACCUCUGAAUGUACUUUGCUCAAUGGACCAAUGGUCUGACUCAGAAUAAGGCAGAAUUCUACAUUCCCCCCAAAUGUAUGCAUCUGAGAUUGCUGGAGUGGACAGAACGAGGAGAGGCAAAUAAUGGAAAAUCCAAUUAGGGUAAGAAGUACUUAGAGUUUAUAUUCUGCAAAUGGUUGGGUCCCAUGUCAACAACACAGUGCAUGGACGGAAAGGUUCUUCCCCCUCCCUGCGGGCCGUUUUAUCCAUUUGCCGGAUUAAUAAUUCAAGGGAGAAGAGCCCAGCAGUGGCUCCACGAUGCUGUUGGCAAGGCUUUGAUGAGCAGGCCUCCAGCCGCUGGGACAUGCAUUUCCUGACCUCCUUUCUGCCACCGACUCAAAGGCAGCAGAGGACAGAUAUUGUUGAGGUGCAUUUUCCACUGGGGGGGCAGGGGAAGCCUUCCCAUGUGCCUCAAGCAGGCCAUCUGGCCAACGACAGGGGCUUCUGCCGCAGAGCCGCUUGGACAGAUGUGCAGAAGGAGGUGAAACUGGCCGAGGUUGAGAACCUUCUGACCUACACCUGACCCAGCCUGGCUAAUAUCCCAGCUGUUGUCUUGUUCUGAGAGGCAGGGCGGACAGGCAGGCUGCAUUUGGGCACAAGGAAGGCAAACAGGCAGUUUUCCAAGAGAGAAGGAAGAUGCAUUUUUUUUCCUUUUUGGUGUUGCUCUCUGACCUAGAAGCAGAUGAAGAAGAAGCAGCAGUAGCUUUGAGCUUUGGGAAGGGCCGAUAGCCAAAUCGUCUGACUGAGUAGAAGGCAGAUUCUUGUGACAGGCUUUCCCCCAGAGCUUUUCAGAGCUAACAGAUGACUUCUCUAUGGCCAGAGUCCAAAGACCUACUUCAUACAAAUAUUCAGGAGUUUUCACAGGCCUGGGCCAAGCAGGGGCUGGAGAGGGCAUAUGCCCCAGGGUUAUGGGGGCAGCAAAACAGCAUGUAAUAUCAAAAGCUGCUAGGAGACAAGACACCCCAAAGUGUCCCUAUUUUCCAGGGACAGCCCCAGAUUUCUGAUUUAAUCCCGGAAUGUCCCACUGUUGCUUAGGACAUGCAUAUUUUCGUCAGAGAAAUGUUGGAGGGUACAGAGUUAUGUGACACCUCCAAAGCCAAGGAGAUGAGUAAACUAUGCAACCUUUAGAAGACAUCUGAAAGCAAUCUUGUAUAGGGAAGUUUUAUAAUGUUUAAUGUUUUAUUGAAGACAGGAGUGCCUGGCGUGCUCUGGUCCAUGGGGUCAUGAAGAGUCGGACACGACUAAACGACUAAACAACAAACAACAAUGUUUUAUUAUGUUUUUAUAUAUGUUGGAAGUUGCCCAGAGUGGCUGGGGCUACUCAGUCAGAUGGGUGGGGUAUACAUGGAAUAAUAAUAAUAAUAGUAAUAGUAGUAAUAAUAAUGAAUAAUAAUAAUAAUAGGACAUCCCUAUUUUUAUUUACAGAUUUACGGAUUUACGUAUAAGCUAAACAAGCUAUAGCUUAGGGCCCCGCUCUCUUGGGGCCCCCCAAAAAAAUUAAAGGAAAAAAACUGUUUGUACAUUUCUAAAAUAUAAGAUGAAAACGAAUAAAAUAAAACCUACAUACAGCAACAGUGUUUUGUGUUGUGUAGGCUCCUAUAAUGUAAGUAAUCGGCAAAAAUAAAUACAGUAAAUGGACAAAAGUAUAAAGAUUCACAAAAUGUUUAGGGGUAUGUGUAUCCCUGCGUACCCCCAGAAAAAAAGCACUGGAUAGAUAGAUAGAUAGAUAGAUAGAUAAGAUGAUAUAGAUAUAGAUAUAGAUAUAGAUAUAGAUAUAGAUAUAGAUAUAGAUGAUAUAGAUAUAGAUAUGUGAUGGGAAAAUAUGAAAUGGCACACUGACGCAACAUCAUCUAAGCUCCCCACAAACAAUUCAGAAUGGAUGCUCCUUAAACAGUCAACAUCGUCUAAUCUCUUUGCAGACAAAUCAGAAUAAAUGCCCAAGGCACAGGUUAUCUGGAAGCACCAGUGAAAUCAGACGACUUUAACUUCCAGCCUCUACCUCUUCA
Non-coding RNA from Podarcis lilfordi (Lilford's wall lizard), 2086 nucleotides. Lineage: Eukaryota; Metazoa; Chordata; Lepidosauria; Squamata; Lacertidae. The record is from the annotation of a GenBank genome assembly.